AUGUGAGGAUCAGUAUGGCUGGCCUUGUGACAUGUGCUCCACUUUUGGUGAAUGCAGCAACCUUCUAGGCAAUACCUGUGGAUGCAUCAAUGCACUUCCUCCAAAUAAUACUUACUGCCAACCACUGUCAGAUCUAAAUCCCUGCCCAACGACAGCACCAACAACUACUCCUCCAGUCUUCCGUCAGUACCUUCUUUCUAUAGAACUGAAAACAACAACAGUUGCAGCUGUAG
This is a long non-coding RNA of Cyprinodon tularosa, 233 nucleotides long. RefSeq lists it as uncharacterized. The record is from RefSeq and is a predicted model, not a curated record. NCBI's taxonomy places the organism in Eukaryota, Metazoa, Chordata, Actinopteri, Cyprinodontiformes, Cyprinodontidae. The transcript is spliced from 3 exons.